Molecule: transfer RNA, 17 nt
Filed under: Galium echinocarpum
Lineage: Eukaryota; Viridiplantae; Streptophyta; Magnoliopsida; Gentianales; Rubiaceae
Description: partial tRNA-Cys
Source: RNAcentral
UGGCGACAUGGCCGAGU